GACGAACGCUGGCGGCGUGCUUAACACAUGCAAGUCGAACGGAAAGACCCUGCUUUCAGUGUUCUCAAGUUGCCAACGGAUGAGUAACACGUGGGUGAUCUGCCCCUUACUUUGGGAUAAGCCUGUUAAACUGGGUCUAAUACUGAAUAGGACCAUUCUGUAGGUGGUGGGUUCGAAAGAUUAGGUUCGUUAUGGUAUGAGCUCGCGGCCUAUCAGCUUGUUGGUAGGUUAAUGGCCUACCAAGGCGUCGACGGGUAGCCGGCCUGAGAGGGUGGAAGGCACCAUUGGGACUCAGACAGGGGCCAGAAUCAUACGGGAGGCAGCAGUGGGGAAUAUUGCACAAUGGGAGCAAGCCUGAUGUAGCGAAGGCGUGUGGGGGAUGAAGGCCUUCGGGUUGUAAACUCCUUUUAGCUAUGAAGAAGCGCUUGUCGUGACGGUAGUGGUAGAAGAAGCCACGGCUAACUACGUG
Molecule: ribosomal RNA, 469 nt
Filed under: uncultured bacterium
Lineage: Bacteria
Description: partial 16S ribosomal RNA
Rfam family: Bacterial small subunit ribosomal RNA
Source: RNAcentral